GAUCCUGGCUCAGAGCGAACGCUGGCGGCAGGCUUAACACAUGCAAGUCGAACGGGCACCUUCGGGUGUCAGUGGCAGACGGGUGAGUAACACGUGGGAACGUACCCUUCUGUUCGGAAUAACUCAGGGAAACUUGAGCUAAUACCGGAUACGCCCUUUUGGGGAAAGGUUUACUGCCGAAGGAUCGGCCCGCGUCUGAUUAGCUUGUUGGUGGGGUAACGGCCUACCAAGGCGACGAUCAGUAGCUGGUCUGAGAGGA
Molecule: ribosomal RNA, 259 nt
Filed under: uncultured bacterium
Lineage: Bacteria
Description: partial 16S ribosomal RNA
Rfam family: Bacterial small subunit ribosomal RNA
Source: RNAcentral